Non-coding RNA from Triticum aestivum (bread wheat), 125 nucleotides. The record is from Rfam. NCBI's taxonomy places the organism in Eukaryota, Viridiplantae, Streptophyta, Magnoliopsida, Poales, Poaceae.
AUAAUACUCCCUCCGUCAGAAAAUGCUUGUCGGAUGAGUGGAUGUAUCUAGACGCAAUUUAGUCCUAGAUACAUUCAUUUUCAUCCAUUUCUCUUACAAGUAUUUCCGGACGGAGGGAGUAUGUC